This 424-nucleotide ribosomal RNA is filed under the name uncultured bacterium. RNAcentral describes it as "partial 16S ribosomal RNA". It matches the Rfam family "Bacterial small subunit ribosomal RNA", at positions 338 to 755 of the family's 1533-position model. The record is from RNAcentral.
CCUACGGGAGGCAGCAGUAGGGAAUGUUCGUCAAUGGGCGCAAGCCUGAACGAGCAAUGCCGCGUGAACGAGGAAGGUCUUCGGAUCGUAAAGUUCUGUUGAAGGGGAAAAAGAGCGGAGAGAGGAAAUGCUUUCUGAUUGAUAUUACCCUUCGAGGAAGGCACGGCUAACUACGUGCCAGCAGCCGCGGUAAUACGUAGGUGGCGAGCGUUAUCCGGAAUGAUGGGGCGUAAAGGGUGCGUAGGCGGCCUGCUAAGUCUGGAGUUAAAGGUACCGGCUCAACCGGUACAGGCUCUGGAAACUGGCGGGCUAGAGAGCAGGAGAGGGCGGUGGAACUCCAUGUGUAGCGGUCCACUGCGUUGAUAUAUGCAAGAACACCAGUGGCGAAGGCGGCCGCCUGGCCUUUUCCUGACGCUGAGGCACG